This 454-nucleotide ribosomal RNA is filed under the name uncultured bacterium. RNAcentral describes it as "partial 16S ribosomal RNA". It matches the Rfam family "Bacterial small subunit ribosomal RNA", at positions 28 to 507 of the family's 1533-position model. The record is from RNAcentral.
GAUGAACGCUGACAGAAUGCUUAACACAUGCAAGUCCACUUGAACUUCGGUUUGGGUGGCGGACGGGUGAGUCACGCGUAAAGAACUUGCCUCACAGCUAGGGACAACAUUUGGAAACGAAUGCUAAUACCUGAUAUUAUGAUUAUAUGGCAUCGUAUAAUUAUGAAAGCUAUAUGCGCUGUGAGAGAGCUUUGCGUCCCAUUAGCUAGUUGGAGAGGUAACAGCUCACCAAGGCGAUGAUGGGUAGCCGGCCUGAGAGGGUGAUCGGCCACAAGGGGACUGAGACACGGCCCUUACUCCUACGGGAGGCAGCAGUGGGGAAUAUUGGACAAUGGACCGAGAGUCUGAUCCAGCAAUUCUGUGUGCACGAUGAAGUUUUUCGGAAUGUAAAGUGCUUUCAGUUGGGAAGAAAAAAAUGACGGUACCAACAGAAGAAGUGACGGCUAAAUACGUG